CUGAUCUGAGACAAAGACCUAUGAAAAUCAAAUCUUCCUGCAAUGAACAAAGUGACCACCUCCAUCAUGCUUCAGGCUUCCUGGAAAUGAAAACCCCCAACUUUGGAAAACAAGAUCUACAAUGGUGCAAAACAAGAUCAUGAGGAAAAUGCCAGCAGUUAUCGAGAGUUAUCCAUAGGUAACGCUCACUUGGAUGAAUAAAGAUUGGUUUAGUAUUGCAAGAACAUUCAUUGUAUAAAGUGUGACAAACUAGGGAAAUUAUUUGAAGCUGUUGAUGAAAACCAGACUGGACACUGCUUCAUAAAUAUGUUCUCCUCAUCUGACCUAUUUAACAGCUGAGAAUGUGAACUCAAUCAAGGAUAGGUGCAAUGGAGUUAAGGAUUCCUUACAGUGCCUAAAAGUAGAAGAUAAGGUACCUGAUUCUUCGAGAGGUAAGGUAACUUGCCUACAGCCUCAUUGUAAGUGCUAGAAGCAAGAUUCAAGCCAUCUUUCCUGGCAUCUGUAACUUUCCCUGUAAUACUACACAAAUGAAUACAAGAAGGACAAAAAAGUGCUAUGUGAGAUCUCAGAAGAAAGAUUUUUGUGGGGCUGAACAUAUUCAUAUUAUAAAAAUUAUAAAAAAUUCAUCAUAAAAUCUGAAUUUUGAUUUGAGUUCAGAAAAGAACAAGUAAAAUUAUCAUUUUUGUAUUUAUUUUUUCUUCUCUUCAUAUGUCAAGAAGUUGUUGAUCUUGGUCAUCCUGGUUGCUUUAUACUAUGUAUUCUAUAGUUCUCAAUGUCCUUGGUAAAAUGGUGAAGAAAGACUUGCCCACAAUUCUCCAGCUGUAGUCUCACAAAGGAAAAAUAUAGCAUAUUAAGAGCUCUUCAUUUCUGGGCCUUAUCACUUUCUUGUCUGCCAUGACAUGCUGUUCGCUCAGACUUGUCUUGCAGUCCACUCUGUUUCUCAUCUCCAGCUUUCAACUAACCUUUUUUUUUUUUUCAGGCAAAAAAUUCUUGAAGACUUAUUAGAAAUGUGAGAUUGAAGAGACAAAACCUUUUUUUUUUUUUUUUUUGCUCCAAAGUAGUAACACUGGAUGUCUAAAAACAUGCUAUCAAUAGAAAUGAAGAAAUUUGGAGAAAGGAUGAGCAGAGGGUAAAGACAGUAAAAUCUAUUUUGUAUCUGUUGAGUUUCAUCAAGAAAUUUUAUGAGUACAUCUGUGCUUUUAUCUAAGUCAUUAAAAAGUGUUAAACAAACCACUAAGGUCAGUUGACACCUUCUGUAGAUUUGCUUCAAACAUAAGGUCAAACUAUUAAUGAUAAUUCUUUUGGCCUAGCCCUUCAAUUAGUUCUAAACCCACUUAAUUGUAGUAUUGCCUAAUCCACACCUUUAUUUAUUUUCUUUUUAAAAAAUAAUAAUUUAUGUUCUGAACUUAACAAAUACCAAGAAACAUGAACACAUCAACAUGUAAAGAACAGAAAAACUACACAAACUUACU
Molecule: long non-coding RNA, 1472 nt
Organism: Sarcophilus harrisii (Tasmanian devil)
Lineage: Eukaryota; Metazoa; Chordata; Mammalia; Dasyuromorphia; Dasyuridae
Exons: 4
Source: RefSeq, a predicted model, not a curated record